CUUCUUUCUAUCCUAGUAUAACUUGAAGAAUUCAAAUAGUCAUGCUAGGAUAGAAAGAAUGGG
RNAcentral lists this microRNA precursor (63 nucleotides) under Pongo abelii (Sumatran orangutan). RNAcentral's name for it is "Pab-Mir-3146_pre stem-loop". Lineage: Eukaryota; Metazoa; Chordata; Mammalia; Primates; Hominidae. RNAcentral also lists the same sequence under 1 other name. The record is from RNAcentral.